This is a long non-coding RNA of Pelmatolapia mariae (spotted tilapia), 1029 nucleotides long. RefSeq lists it as uncharacterized. The transcript is spliced from 3 exons. The record is from RefSeq and is a predicted model, not a curated record. NCBI's taxonomy places the organism in Eukaryota, Metazoa, Chordata, Actinopteri, Cichliformes, Cichlidae.
CCAGAAGUAGCUUUGAGGUUAACGUGUAACUUAUACACGUGUCUGAGUGCGAAUCCAUCAUCCGGGCUUUCGUGCAGUUUCUUGAUGCUCCAGCUUCCUCCCGCAGCCAUAGAUGUGGUUACUCGGUCAUUCCUGUAGGUGUGAACGUGACUGCGAUUGGUUGUCCAGUUAUAGACUGGCGACCGGCCCACAGUCCAGACCGUAACCUUUAUGGGACACGUGGUCUCCCGCAAAGGUUACCGACUUUAAAAUAUUCACACAGUUUGAAUUGAUUUAUUUGUAAAUGAAUAAAUGUCUGUAUUUGCAGAGCGGGUGAGUCAUCUUCGCAAGCACACAUGAUCUGUAGCAUUGUGGUACUAAGCUCCACGUGUUCCGACAAACAGCAAAAGGAGUCCAGGCAGAAAGUGCUGAAGAGGCACAUUGUUCCGCCUUCCUCACGCCAGCGCUGCUCUCAGGAGCUUUUCGGAGCCUUCGUGUCAGCAUCAACACUUUCCCGAGUUAAAUCUCAGCUCACUUCACUGACAGUAGAAGCCGAGAAGUGUGCUGACGUCAUUGAUCAAUUGUUUGGUUGAAAUGGAGGCCUGUCCCUUCUCUGCCUGUGUGUGGAUGGAAACAGGGUUUCAGUAAAUAUUGUUUCUUUCGAUGGUUGGUAAAUACACCAACACUGGGCUUGAGACCAGUUGGCUGAAUAAUCCAUAAUAAAAUGAGACUGUAAACGGUGACUAACAUCGAACAGGAACUCUGGGCCUGACGUCGGCCUUCAUCCAGCAUGUCUUUAUCCUGUCUUCCUUCUCUCACCCCAACCAAUCACAGCAGAUGGCCCCGCCCCUCCCUGAGCCUGGUUCUGUUGGAGGUUUCUUCCUGUUAAAAGGGAGUUUUUCCUUCCCACUGUCGCCAAAGUGCUUGCUCAUAGGGGGUCAUAUGAUUGUUGGGUUUUUCUCUGUAUUUAUUAUUGUAGGAUCUACUGUACAAUAUAAAGCGCCUUGAGGCGACUGUUGUUGUGAUUUGGCGCUAUUUAAAUAAAAUUGA